CUGAACCAGCCAAGUAGCGUGAAGGAUGACUGCCCUAUGGGUUGUAAACUUCUUUUAUAAAGGAAUAAAGUCGGGUAUGCAUAGCCCGUUUGCAUGUACUUUAUGAAUAAGGAUCGGCUAACUCCGUGCCAGCAGCCGCGGUAAUACGGAGGAUCCGAGCGUUAUCCGGAUUUAUUGGGUUUAAAGGGAGCGUAGAUGGAUGUUUAAGUCAGUUGUGAAAGUUUGCGG
Molecule: ribosomal RNA, 228 nt
Filed under: uncultured Bacteroides sp.
Lineage: Bacteria; Pseudomonadati; Bacteroidota; Bacteroidia; Bacteroidales; Bacteroidaceae
Description: partial 16S ribosomal RNA
Rfam family: Bacterial small subunit ribosomal RNA
Source: RNAcentral